UACGAAGGGGGCUAGCGUUGCUCGGAAUGACUGGGCGUAAAGGGCGCGUAGGCGGCUUGCACCGUCAGAUGUGAAAGCCCCGGGCUCAACCUGGGAACUGCAUUUGAAACUGGCGGGCUUGAGUGUGGCAGAGGGGGGUGGAAUUCCGCGUGUAGCAGUGAAAUGCGUAGAGAUGCGGAGGAACACCGAUGGCGAAGGCAGCCCCCUGGGCCAACACUGACGCUCAGGCACGAAAGCGUGGGGAGCAAACAGG
Molecule: ribosomal RNA, 253 nt
Filed under: uncultured bacterium
Lineage: Bacteria
Description: partial 16S ribosomal RNA
Rfam family: Bacterial small subunit ribosomal RNA
Source: RNAcentral